Acomys russatus (golden spiny mouse) is the source of this 113-nucleotide small nucleolar RNA. RefSeq annotates it as small nucleolar RNA SNORA51. The transcript has a single exon. Lineage: Eukaryota; Metazoa; Chordata; Mammalia; Rodentia; Muridae. The record is from RefSeq and is a predicted model, not a curated record.
UGGCUCCUAGUGCUUACCCAGGCCAUGAGGAGGCAGAAUAACCCUCCCCUACCCUGUUUUCCCCUCAGCCUAGGCCAUUGUGCCUGGCCUGUAUUGUGAAUAGGGAGACAUGG